UAAGGAUUGAUUUCUUUCUAGGAGUAAAACUCUUGUAAAAUAAAUGAAUAACCAUUUACGCAUCCAUUAAUGUACCCUAAAAACUUUACUGGAUACUAUCCAUGUUCUGUACUAAACAGGUUAUCCAGCACAACUCCACCUGGAGCAUGUCUUGACCCAUUUAUGAACAGAUGGAAGUGAGACUGAUGAUUAAGUAGGUAGAGGUUGGCUCCACCAGACCUUUCGAGAUACUGAAUGCAAAAAUGGGUUGACUGUAAAUAUCAGAAGUCUUCAGAGAGAAGAAAGGCAGGUGGCUCUUUGAUCUCCUAUCUCUUUUCUACUCAUCUACUACAUUUCACAUCCCUUCCCUAGUCCACAUUGCUUAGAAAGCUGCUGUAAGGGGCACCUAGGUGGCUCAGUUGUUAAGUGUCUGCCUUCAGCUCAGGUCAUGAUCCCAGGGUCCUGGAUCGAGCCCCCUGUGGAGCCCCGUCUGGAGCCCCUUGUGGAGCCCCCUGCUCAGUGGGAAGCCUGCUUCUCCCUCUCCCACUCCCCCUGCUUGUGUUCCCUCUCACUGUCUCUCUCUCUGUGUCAAAUAAAUAAAUAAAAUCUUUAAAAAAAAAAAAAAAGGAAGAAAGAAAGAAAGCCAUUUAAAAAAAAAGAAAAGUAAGCAAGAAAGCAAAAGUCACCCUAGAUACCUGUAUUUGGCAAUUGGCUGAUAAUCUUAAGACUAUAGGACCAAUGUUACAAUAAAAUAGUGAGUGGCAACAGUUGCCUAUAAAAUACAGCAGAGUGAAUGUAAUCAACAUGAAGCCAAACUUGGUUUUGCAGGUUACCAAAAAAGAAUGGUGUGUCUUCACAGAGGAUCCUACACUUCGAUACCACUAGAAGAGGAAGAGACGUGCCUCUCCCCCAGUGACCAUGCUGUUUCUCGUCUAUGCAGUGUUGGCGCCCCCUUCCAGCACAGGACCGAAAAUGGCAGCCCAGGAGAAGGGAGCAAACCCUGCAUUUUUGAAUAAUGGGCAGAGUAACACAAGCAUGGGAGAAGCAGACGGGGCUGACAGAUUGCAGUGGCUGUGCCUAUGGAAGAUCUUCAAACGUUCCCCGCAGGUGUCCUAGACCUGACUAUUUGUCCCGGGCUUACAUCUGCA
RNAcentral lists this long non-coding RNA (1127 nucleotides) under Ursus maritimus (polar bear). RNAcentral describes it as "lncRNA (ENSUMAG00000015153.1)". The record is from RNAcentral. Lineage: Eukaryota; Metazoa; Chordata; Mammalia; Carnivora; Ursidae.